UCUUCCCAUUUUCAGGAACUAACAGGAACACAGUUUUUAUGAAAUAUGAAGACACAAGCCUAAAAAAUACAUUUUUGAAUUUAGUUCAAUAUUUCCCUCGUAAAAUGCGCAAUUUUUUAUCGAUUUCAUCCAUUUUUUGACCAUUCUGUUUGUCUGUCCAGUGCGCUAAAAAUAGACAUAUAUUAACAACAGAAGGGACAUAACUCGAGAAGACAUUUAAGAAAAUCUAUUAUGCUGUACUGGUCAAUGAGAUCAACAGAUAAGAGAUAUGGCUAGAGUUACUUGAUUGGGUACAACACACAUAUAACCUCAAAGACAGUCAAUUUGGU
Molecule: long non-coding RNA, 329 nt
Filed under: Mytilus galloprovincialis (Mediterranean mussel)
Lineage: Eukaryota; Metazoa; Mollusca; Bivalvia; Mytilida; Mytilidae
Source: RNAcentral